CAUUCUCAAACCUUCUUGGUUUCUUGACCGAGAAGGCUUUGGACUUUGGAGGCUUUUGCUGGACCUUCUCUCGUUGAAGCCAGCUCCUCUUAAAUGAAUUAGUGGGGUCUGCUUUGCUGAUCCUUGACGUGAUAAGAUAGUUCUACUACGUCUUGGGUUUGGCACGGUUUGCUCUAGAUCCUGCUUCUAACCGUCUUGUAUAAGACAAAAGGUCGACUUGACCGACAAA
RNAcentral lists this unclassified non-coding RNA (229 nucleotides) under uncultured Russula. RNAcentral describes it as "sequence contains ITS2". Lineage: Eukaryota; Fungi; Basidiomycota; Agaricomycetes; Russulales; Russulaceae. The record is from RNAcentral.